RNAcentral lists this ribosomal RNA (200 nucleotides) under uncultured bacterium. RNAcentral describes it as "partial 16S ribosomal RNA". It matches the Rfam family "Bacterial small subunit ribosomal RNA", at positions 28 to 229 of the family's 1533-position model. The record is from RNAcentral.
GAUGAACGCUUGCGGCAGGCCUAAUACAUGCAAGUCGAGGGGUAGUGGUUGCUUGCAACCAUGAGACCGGCGCACGGGUGCGUAACGCGUAUGCAACCUACCUUCAUCUGGGGGAUAGCCCGAAGAAAUUCGGAUUAACACCGCAUAAAAUCACAGUACCGCAUGGUACAAUGAUCAAACAUUCAUGGGAUGGAGAUGGG